AAUAAAAGGCGACAGAAAUCCACCUCUUUAGACUGGCUCCCCUACUGUGGAGUAUGUCAGCUCCCCAGGGAAAUUGAGCACCGUGACCACUGCACGUGGUCCUGUCUCAGGGCCUGUGGUGGAAACAGGAGGUUCAGAAAGUGACUUUCUCACCACCUUUCAGCGCUGCCACCACUGACGAGGAGCGGCAGCACCUCCAGGAGGUUGGUCUUUUCCACCUGGGCGAAUUUGUCAAUGUCUUUUGCCACGGCUCUCUGGUAAUGCAGAAUCUGGGUGAGACUUCCACCCCCACACAAGGCUCGGUGCUCUUCGGCACGGUCAACGGCAUGAUAGGGCUGGUGACCUCACUGUCAGAGAGCUGGUACAACCUCCUGCUGGACAUGCAGAAUCGACUCAAUAAAGUCAUCAAAAGUGUGGGGAAGAUCGAGCACUCCUUCUGGAGAUCCUUUCACACCGAGCGGAAGACAGAACCAGCCACAGGUUUCAUCGACGGUGACUUGAUUGAGAGUUUCCUGGAUAUUAGCCGCCCCAAGAUGCAGGAGGUGGUGGCAAACCUACAGUAUGACGAUGGCAGCGGUAUGAAGCGAGAGGCCACUGCAGACGACCUCAUCAAGGUUGUGGAGGAGCUAACUCGGAUCCAUUAGCCAAGGGCAGGGGGCCCCUUUUCUGACCUUCCCCAAAGGCUUUGCCCUGCUGCCCUCCCCCUCCUCUCCACCAUCGUCUUCUUGGCCAUGGGAGGCCUUUCCCUAAGCCAGCUGCCCCCAGAGCCACAGUUGCCCUAUGUGGAAGUGGGGCGGGCUUCAUAGAGACCUGGGAAUGAGCUGAAGGUGAAACAUUUUCUCCCUGGAUUUUUACCAGUCUCACAUGAUUCCAGCCAUCACCUUAGACCACCAAGCCUUGAUUGGUGGUGCCAGUUGUCCUCCUUCCAGGGAGGGAUUUUGCAGAUCUUUGGCUGAAAGGAAGCUGUGCGUGUGUGUGUGUGUAUAUGUGUGUGUGUGUGUGUGUAUCUCACACUCAUGCAUUGUCCUCUAUCUUUUUAGAUUGGCAGUGUAGGGAGUUGUGGGUAGUGGGGAAGAGGGUUAGGAGGGUUUCAUUGUCUGUGAAGUGAGACCUUCCUUUUACUUUUCUUCUAUUGCCUCUGAGAGCAUCAGGCCUAGAGGCCUGACUGCCAAGCCAUGGGCAGCCUGCGUGUAAAACCUGGAGAUGGUGGAUGAUCCCCACGCCAC
RNAcentral lists this small RNA (1226 nucleotides) under Pongo abelii (Sumatran orangutan). RNAcentral describes it as "retained intron". The record is from RNAcentral. Lineage: Eukaryota; Metazoa; Chordata; Mammalia; Primates; Hominidae.